Molecule: long non-coding RNA, 1564 nt
Filed under: Erythranthe guttata (spotted monkey flower)
Lineage: Eukaryota; Viridiplantae; Streptophyta; Magnoliopsida; Lamiales; Phrymaceae
Description: long non-coding RNA (EGUT_LNC002644)
Source: RNAcentral
GGAGAUUGGGUGGCCGCAGAGUUUUCGAAGCGUGUUGACGCGGUGGCUGACGGUGGAGCUACCACCGUUGAUGGUAUCAAAACCGGGCUAUUCAGACUGACCUCGGCCGGUCUUGAUACCACCAAUGGUGGCGGCGCCGCCGCCCCUUGCCUUUCAAUCAUCGCCGCCGGUACCUCAUAUCUUUUUUCUUACGAAUUCAGUAAGGUUUCUUGAUUCUUUCUCUCAGAAUUGAAGAUCUAUAGCUGCUAAUAUGUUUUUUUUUUUCUUCUUCAAGGAAAUUGAAUUUGCAUCAAUUUUGUUACAGUCAAGUAAUGUAUAUGAUUUUUUUUUUUUAAAUAUUUGGAUAAAGCCGUUUUUAACAAUAAUAUAGAUAUUUUAGAUAUAAUAUUAUCUAUCCUCUUCCCCCUCAUAUUAAAGAUUGUAUUUUAUCAGGGGAUUUAGCAAUUUUCACCCUCUAAAUAUACUAUUUUGACACGUUGCACCCUUUAAUUAUAAAUAUGGGACUUUUGACCCUCCAAUUACCACUAGCUUGGCAGAGUGCACUCUUAAUAUCUUUUCAGGCAACGGAUUUCACCGGAAACUCAAUUUUUGCACCGGGCAAACAAUGUAUAUUUUUAUUUAUUUACUUUCUAAAUGACCUUUCAUUUAUUGCAAAACUAGAAUUUUGGUCUAAAAUUUGCACCAACACAAUCGCUGCAAAAGUUAGCAUCAGUUUCGACUAUAAUAUGAGUUAUCUCAAACUUUGUUUUCAGAAUGCAAUCCGAUUACCCAACAUAACCCAAAGAUGACAAAUAGUUUUCCAAUGCAAGUUUCAAUGGGAAAGUGUCGUAGGGUGCAAUCUGCUAAGUUAGUGGUAAUUGAAAGGUGUAAAGUGCUAUUUUUUAUAAUUUAAGGGUGGAAUGUGCCAAAUAUGUAUAGUUGAAUGGUGUAAAGUGCCAAUUACCCAUUUUAUCAGGUGUUAGUGUUUAAUUGCAAAUUUUAUUAGUUUUUCCUUUUUUCUUCAGGGAAAUUAGUUUAUUAGGAAGUGAGGUUAGAUUUGUACCAAUAGACAGUAGACACACGCAUGAGAGUGUGUUUUUCUGUAGUGUUUGGAAGAUGACGUAAGCGAUGGGUGACGUGGCUUCUCACCACUCACAACCUUAGUCCAACCCGAUUUCCGAUGCUGAUAGCCUGAUACGUACUUGUUUAAGUGUUCCGAAUUUAUUGAUAUAUUUAUCUUUUUUUUAUAUCAGUUUAAUUGCAAUAAAAUAAAAAAAUUAUACUUUGUUAUUAUUAAUUUAAAUAAGGGUGAAAUAUAUUUUAAUUUGAAUCAUAAACUAUGCCUUAGUAUUAGGGGUGUAAAAGGAUCGGGUCUUGUAAUAAAAAUAAAUUUGUACAUUGUUAUUAUUUAAUCGGAUUUAAAUAUACUUUCAUUUGCACCAUAACUCAGGAGUGUAAAUGAAUGGGGUCGCAAUUUUUUUGUCAAACUUGUAAACUAAUGUGUGAGCAUUGUUUGAUAAUCAAUCGAAUCGAGCUUAAAUUUUAAUCGAGUCAAAUAAGAGAUGUUUGACACUGCAUAGCAAAA